Molecule: transfer RNA, 63 nt
Filed under: Trogoderma variabile
Lineage: Eukaryota; Metazoa; Arthropoda; Insecta; Coleoptera; Dermestidae
Description: tRNA-Thr
Rfam family: tRNA
About the family: Transfer RNA (tRNA) molecules are approximately 80 nucleotides in length. Their secondary structure includes four short double-helical elements and three loops (D, anti-codon, and T loops). Further hydrogen bonds mediate the characteristic L-shaped molecular structure. tRNAs have two regions of fundamental functional importance: the anti-codon, which is responsible for specific mRNA codon recognition, and the 3' end, to which the tRNAs corresponding amino acid is attached (by aminoacyl-tRNA synthetases). tRNAs cope with the degeneracy of the genetic code in two manners: having more than one tRNA (with a specific anti-codon) for a particular amino acid; and 'wobble' base-pairing, i.e. permitting non-standard base-pairing at the 3rd anti-codon position.
Source: RNAcentral
GUUUUAAUAGUUUAUAAAAAAUAUUGGUCUUGUAAACCAAAGAAAAGAUCUCUUUUAAAACUC